AAACUGCCUGAUGGAGGGGGAUAACUACUGAAUACUGUAGCUAAUACCGAAUAACGGCGCAGGACCAAUCAGGGGGACCUUCGGGCCUCUUGCCAUCAGAUGUGCCCAGAUGGUAUUAGCUUGUAUGUGGGGUAAUGGCUCACCUACGCGACGAUCCCUAGCUGGUCUGAGAGGAUGACCACCCACACUGAAACUGACACACGGCCCACACUCCUACGGGAGGCAGCUGUGGGGAAUAUUGCACAAUGGGCGCAACCCUGAUGCAGCCAUGCCGCGUGUGUGAAGAAGGCCUUCGUUUUGUAAAGCACUUUCAACGAAGAAGAAGGUGGUGAACUUAAUACCUUCAUCAAUUGACGUUACUCGCAUAACAAGCACCGGCUAACUCCGUGCCAUCAGCCGCGUUAAUACAGAGGGUGCAAGCGUUAAUCUGAAUUACUGGGCGUCAAGCGCACUCAGGCGGUUUGUUAAUUCACAUGUGAAAUCCCCGGGCUCAACCUGGAAACUGCAUUUGAAACUGACAAGCUAGAGUCUCGUAUAGGGGGGUAGAAUUCCUAGUGUAGCGGUGACAUGCAUAGAGAUCUGGAUGAAUACCGGUGG
RNAcentral lists this ribosomal RNA (597 nucleotides) under soil bacterium Gent-S3F-M1LLLSSL-1. RNAcentral describes it as "bacterial SSU rRNA". It matches the Rfam family "Bacterial small subunit ribosomal RNA", at positions 123 to 715 of the family's 1533-position model. The record is from RNAcentral.